Coregonus clupeaformis (lake whitefish) is the source of this 311-nucleotide long non-coding RNA. RefSeq lists it as uncharacterized. Lineage: Eukaryota; Metazoa; Chordata; Actinopteri; Salmoniformes; Salmonidae. The transcript has 3 exons. The record is from RefSeq and is a predicted model, not a curated record.
UUGUACCCUCCCGCUCCGUGGAACACCUGGGAACAAAGCAGAAUGGAUUGCAAACAAAAUAAUGCUGAUUUGGUUGUCAUAGGCAGUCAAAAGGAACAGGAAUUCAUUCAUAACCACACUCAAUACUACUAUGAUAAAGAUCAUGGGUACUGGAUCGGUUUAAAUGACAUAGCUAAAGUCGGCCAAUGGCUCUGGGUUAGUGGAAGUCAUCAGAAUCUGACUGAUGGGUUUUGGAAGAGACAAACUGGGGGUGAUUGCGUGUUAACUGUCCCAAAUAAUGCACCUUUGGAUAAUUGGAAUGCUGAAUCGUG